This 734-nucleotide long non-coding RNA is filed under the name Homo sapiens (human). RNAcentral's name for it is "HSALNT0366761". Lineage: Eukaryota; Metazoa; Chordata; Mammalia; Primates; Hominidae. The record is from RNAcentral.
AGGGAAAGGGAAAUCUGUAAACACUGGCCGUUGAAGAAUACGGUUUCUGAGAAUUUCCACUCUGAAUUCACAUUCCGUUCAGUGUUAUCGCCACCCUGUGGAUUUCUUGGCUACCUCGCUGGCUUUGAGCACAACCCAGGAAGAAGUUUGAAACCAAGAAAAUGGUGGUUGGGAAGACCAGGAUGCGCAAUGGCAAGUGCUGACAACUCUGGAAUACACAGUAGGCACCCAAUACAUACAAGGGAGUAAAUGAAUGAAUUAAAGCUGUCUGUAUCUGCUGAUCAUCCACAAUUUAGACGUCCUAUACUACAUUCCAAUUGAGGGCAAGCGGGGUACGUGUCCUGAAUUUAUAGAAUCUUUUGACACAAAGCAAGAGAGCCACAGUCAAGACUCAAGUCAAAAGAAAUUUAGACCCCAUCUGGGCAAACAGGCCUCUAAGCAACAAUCUAAGAUUUCCACCUAUUGUUCUGGCAUUCCUUGUAUAAAUGAUUAUGACUGCAGAGAUCUUAGGAAGUGCUGUGGUACCUUUAGAUGUGGCCUGAGGUGCAUACAUCCUCUUAUGAUUGGCCCUGUAUUUUUCAAUUCACCUCCACAAUCCAAGGCAUAAAUAUUGGAUGGAGAAAUGGAUUCAGAUGGAGGCAUCAUUGAGCUUAUUCUUGACUCAUCUCAGUCCAAACAUUACUCUGUCAAUCGUUGUUCUUAAAAUCUGCAUAUUAAAAGCUCAGCAUCAACUA